Molecule: ribosomal RNA, 253 nt
Filed under: uncultured bacterium
Lineage: Bacteria
Description: partial 16S ribosomal RNA
Rfam family: Bacterial small subunit ribosomal RNA
Source: RNAcentral
UACGAAGGGGGCUAGCGUUGUUCGGAAUUACUGGGCGUAAAGCGCGCGCAGGCGGUUUCUCAAGUCAGUGGUGAAAGCCCGGAGCUCAACCCCGGAACUGCCAUUGAAACUGUGAAACUUGAGGACGAGAGAGGUGAGUGGAAUUCCCAGUGUAGAGGUGAAAUUCGUAGAUAUUGGGAAGAACACCGGUGGCGAAGGCGGCUCACUGGCUCGUUUCUGACGCUCAGGCGCGACAGCGUGGGGAUCAAACAGG